UAGUCCACGCCGUAAACGAUGAGAACUAGACGUUGGGUUCAUUUAAGGGCUUAGUGUCGCAGCUAACGCGUGAAGUUCUCCGCCUGGGGAGUACGGCCGCAAGGUUAAAACUCAAAGGAAUUGACGGGGGCCCGCACAAGCGGUGGAGCAUGUGGUUUAAUUCGAUGCAACGCGAAGAACCUUACCUACCCUUGACAUCAUCAGAACUUGUCAGAGAUGACUCGGUGCCUUCGGGAACUGGUUGACAGGUGCUGCAUGGCUGUCGUCAGCUCGCGUCGUGAGAUGUUGGGUUAAGUCCCGCAACGAGCGCAACCCUUGUCCCUAGUUGCCAGCAUUCAGUUGGGCACUCUAGGGAGACUGCCGGUGACAAACCGGAGGAAGGUGGGGAUGACGUCAAGUCAGCAUGCCCCUUAUGCUCUGGGCUACACACGUGCUACAAUGGCCGUGACAAAGAGUUGCUACUUUGUGAAACAAGCUAAUCUCAUAAACGCGGCCUCAGUUCGGAUU
RNAcentral lists this ribosomal RNA (507 nucleotides) under uncultured bacterium. Its description in RNAcentral is "bacterial SSU rRNA". It matches the Rfam family "Bacterial small subunit ribosomal RNA", at positions 791 to 1299 of the family's 1533-position model. The record is from RNAcentral.